RNAcentral lists this ribosomal RNA (499 nucleotides) under uncultured bacterium. Its description in RNAcentral is "bacterial SSU rRNA". It matches the Rfam family "Bacterial small subunit ribosomal RNA", at positions 414 to 905 of the family's 1533-position model. The record is from RNAcentral.
UCCCUCGGGAUGUAAACUUCGCAAGAACGGGAAGAAUAAGUAGGGGACAAUACCCCCUAUGAUGACGGUACCGUUUGUAAGCUCCGGCUAACUCCGUGCCAGCAGCCGCGGUAAUACGGGGGGAGCAAGCGUUGUUCGGAUUUACUGGGCGUAAAGGGCGCGUAGGCGGCCAGCACAAGUCAGUUGUGAAAUCUCCGAGCUUAACUCGGAAAGGUCAACUGAUACUGUGCGGCUAGAGUGCGGAAGGGGCAACUGGAAUUCUUGGUGUAGCGGUGAAAUGCGUAGAUAUCAAGAGGAACACCUGCGGCGAAGGCGGGUUGCUGGGCCGACACUGACGCUGAGGCGCGAAAGCCAGGGGAGCGAACGGGAUUAGAUACCCCGGUAGUCCUGGCCUUAAACGAUGAAUGCUUGGUGUCUGGGGUUAUAAAGUCCCCGGGUGCCGUCGCUAACGCUUUAAGCAUUCCGCCUGGGGAGUACGGUCGCAAGACUGAAACUCAAA